RNAcentral lists this unclassified non-coding RNA (846 nucleotides) under Hevea brasiliensis (rubber tree). The record is from RNAcentral. Lineage: Eukaryota; Viridiplantae; Streptophyta; Magnoliopsida; Malpighiales; Euphorbiaceae.
CUAUACUCCAUCACUCCAUUUGAAAUGCUUCGUCCAGAAAAUGGAAUAUAUGGAUCUUUGCUUCUUUAUGCGUCUAUUUUUAGUAAAAUGUUUGACAUUUCACUAGAUCUUCUCCAGAAAUGCCCACCCUUAGCUACUACAUUAACCAGCACACCUCAGAUUUUAGCUACUGCAUCAAGCCAUCUGGGAAUCACACCUCUGAUUCAAUUAUGUGGUCAGAGUGAUUUAUUCCCCAGUAGUGUCCGAUUUGUCUUCUGGAAACGAUGGAUCUAUUCUUGCAUUCAGGUGCAACUACCUGCUGCCCAGCAUACUGAUGUUCGAAUAUCGAUUCCACAAGAUGGCCACGCGCAUCCUGAGAGCAAUUUAGUGCGAGGGCUAGGUCCAUUGCGAAGAUUUGGUUCAAAUUUACUUCAAUUGUUUGGAAUAAAGCAGAUUUAUGAUUCAAAGUUGACCCACGCCUAUGCUCUUGAACUUUUACAUUGGAUGUGCAAACACAUAGCCACUAUAGAUGACACAAAACUUCAGCAAAGUGGAGUAUACGAUGCAUUCUUUGGAGCUAUCAAAUUUGGGACCAUUGAAGUCGUUAUUGAGAUGCUCAAAGCCAAUCCCAGUCUUUUAACUUUUUCAAACUUCAAACGCAGACGCAUCCUUCAGUAUGCUGUUAAACAUCGGCAAGAAAAAAUUUUUAGCCUCAUAUACGCGCUUGAGACAAAAAAGCACUUGCUGAUCUCUUUAACUGAUUAUAAUCGAAAUAACAUUUUACACAUUGCAGCGAAGUUAGCACCUCCUGAUCGACUUGCAAGCAUUUCAGGUGCAGCUUUGCAGAUGCAAAGAGAGCUACAGUGG